Molecule: long non-coding RNA, 680 nt
Organism: Antechinus flavipes (yellow-footed antechinus)
Lineage: Eukaryota; Metazoa; Chordata; Mammalia; Dasyuromorphia; Dasyuridae
Exons: 2
Source: RefSeq, a predicted model, not a curated record
AACAACGAGGGUUACUGGUCAGCGAUCGCUGCACAGCCAGCAGAGGCGCCCGGCACCCGGGCCAAGGACACGGACAGUGCGCCAGCUCCGUGCCUUAUUCAGAUAUGCUGAGCAGGCCAUCUAUGCCUUCGUCCGUGGCACUGACAUGGAUUUUUUUUUUUUUUUUGGGGGGGGGGGGGACAAGCUUUCUGGUACUUUAUUUCCCUUUUUAAUUUGUUUGAAACUUAAAAACAAAAUAGGAAAGAAAAAUGCCAUGUAUACAGUAAAACACGAGAGGAUUCAAAAUAUAAAUUAAGUUUCCAUUUCAAGAAAGCCUAUACGUUAAAUACUACAUACUGUGUUCAGAGCUCUCUUCGCUUUAUUUGCUGUUCCUCCACACGGCGCUCCACAGCACAUCUCCAUGUCUGGAAUAUCUGGUGCCCUCAUCUCUGCCUCUCUUUUACCUUGGCUUCGGGACUCAGAUAAAACUUACGUGCAGGGCCCUUCCUCAUCUCCUUAGGCCCUCCUCCAAGAUUACCUCGCAUCUAACUGAAACCUUGUUUGUAUACAGGGGUUUGCCCGGAGGCGGUGGGGCCUGGGAGAGACGGAUUUGUGUCUUUUUUUGUAACCCUAUUACUCAGCACAGUACCUGGCACAUGAUUAAGAUAGUUAAUAAAUGUGUGUUGAUUUGUUCACUCAAA